AGAGGGUCGGGUGAUCGCGGCUCCCGGAACCGCCCCCGUAGGGGGCAGGCCGGGGUCGAGGAAAGUCCGGACUCCUCAGAGCACGGUGGUUGUUAACGGCAACCCGGGGUGACCCGCGGGACAGUGCCACAGAAAAGAACCGCCCGGUGUGAACCGGGUCAGGGUGAAAAGGUGCGGUAAGAGCGCACCAGUGCCCCGGGUGACCGGGGCAGCUGGGUAAACCCCACCGGGAGCAAGGUCAUGUGAUCGCACCGUCGCCCUCCGGGGCCGGUGGUGCGGUGUUGCCCCGACGGCUGCUCGUCGGACAAGGGGCAGGUAGACCGCUGGAGGCGGCCGGUGACGGUCGUCGUAGAUGGAUGAUCACCACCUCCGGUGACGCCCCGACAGGUGUCACCGGCGGGACAGAAUCCGGCUCACAGACCCUCUCGA
This 429-nucleotide RNase P RNA is filed under the name uncultured Corynebacterium sp. RNAcentral describes it as "Bacterial RNase P class A". It matches the Rfam family "Bacterial RNase P class A". From Rfam's summary of the family: Ribonuclease P (RNase P) is a ubiquitous endoribonuclease, found in archaea, bacteria and eukarya as well as chloroplasts and mitochondria. Its best characterised activity is the generation of mature 5'-ends of tRNAs by cleaving the 5'-leader elements of precursor-tRNAs. Cellular RNase Ps are ribonucleoproteins. The record is from RNAcentral. Lineage: Bacteria; Bacillati; Actinomycetota; Actinomycetes; Mycobacteriales; Corynebacteriaceae.